RNAcentral lists this ribosomal RNA (817 nucleotides) under uncultured bacterium. RNAcentral describes it as "bacterial SSU rRNA". It matches the Rfam family "Bacterial small subunit ribosomal RNA", at positions 62 to 887 of the family's 1533-position model. The record is from RNAcentral.
UCGAACGAGGAGUUCUCGGAGCAAUACUUGAACUUCCUAAUGGCGAAUGGGUGACUAACGUGUUGGGGACCUGCCCCAAAGCGAGGAAUACCUCCUGGAAACUGGAGCUAAUACCUCACGUGGUUACCAGGGUUAGAGGCCUGGCAACUGAAGGAGCAAUCCACUUUGGGAGGGACCUGCUUCCCAUCAGCUAGUUGGUAGGGUAACGGCCUACCAAGGCGACGACGGGUAGGGGGCCUGAGAGGGUGGCCCCCCACACUGGAACUGAAACACGGUCCAGACACCUACGGGUGGCAGCAGUAGGGAAUAUUGCACAAUGGGCGAAAGCCUGAUGCAGCAACGCCGCGUGAACGAUGAAGACCUUCGGGUUGUAAAGUUCUUUUCUGAAGGACGAGGAAGGACGGUACUUCAGGAAUAAGGAUCGGCUAACUACGUGCCAGCAGCCGCGGUAAUACGUAGGAUCCGAGCGUUAUCCGAAUUUACUGGGCGUAAAGCGUGUGCAGGCGGUUUGGUAAGUUGGAUGUGAAAGCUCCCGGCUCAACUGGGAGAGGCCGUUCAAAACUACCAGACUAGAGGACGGUAGAGGGAGGUAGAAUUCCCGGUGUAGUAGUGAAAUGCGUAGAUAUCGGGAGGAAUACCAGUGGCGAAGGCGGCCUCCUGGACCGUUCCUGACGCUCAGACACGAAAGCUAGGGGAGCGAACGGGAUUAGAAACCCCGGUAGUCCUAGCUGUAAACGAUGCAAACUUGGUGUUGGUGGGGUAAAAUCCGCCGGUGCCGAAGCUAACGCGAUAAGUUUGCCGCCUGGGGACUACGGCC